UCGCGAAACCUUCACACUGGGGGAAACCCUGAUGAGGGAAUUCCUAGUGCCUGCAUUUUUUGUAGGCUUUUAUCUAGUGUAGAUAGCUAGAAGAAUAAGGGCCGGGUAAGACGGGUGCCAGCCGCCGCGGUAAUACCCGCGGCCCAAGUGGUGGUCGAUAUUAUUGAGUCUAAAACGUCCGUAGCCGGUUCAGUAAAUCUUUGGGUAAAUCGGCCAGCUUAACUGACCGAAUUCCGAAGAGACUGCUGAACUUGGGACCGGGAGAGGCCAGAGGUACUUCUGGGGUAGGGGUAAAAUCCUGUAAUCCUAGAAGGACCACCGGUGGCGAAGGCGUCUGGCUAGAACGGAUCCGACGGUGAGGGACGAAGCCCUGGGGCGCAAACGGGAUUAGAUACCCCGGUAGUCCAGGGUGUAAACGCUGCAGGCUUGGUGUUGGGGGUCCUUCGGGGGCGCCCAGUGCCGGAGAGAAGUUGUUAAGCCUGCUACUUGGGGAGUACGUCCGCAAGGAUGAAACU
This 515-nucleotide ribosomal RNA is filed under the name uncultured Methanomassiliicoccus sp. Its description in RNAcentral is "bacterial SSU rRNA". It matches the Rfam family "Archaeal small subunit ribosomal RNA", at positions 339 to 856 of the family's 1478-position model. The record is from RNAcentral. Lineage: Archaea; Methanobacteriati; Thermoplasmatota; Thermoplasmata; Methanomassiliicoccales; Methanomassiliicoccaceae.